This 253-nucleotide ribosomal RNA is filed under the name uncultured bacterium. Its description in RNAcentral is "partial 16S ribosomal RNA". It matches the Rfam family "Archaeal small subunit ribosomal RNA", at positions 474 to 727 of the family's 1478-position model. The record is from RNAcentral.
UACCAGCACCCCGAGUGGUCGGGACGUUUAUUGGGCCUAAAGCAUCCGUAGCCGGUUCUACAAGUCUUCCGUUAAAUCCAGCUGCUUAACAGAUGGGCUGCGGAAGAUACUAUGGAGCUAGGAGGCGGGAGAGGCAAGCGGUACUCGAUGGGUAGGGGUAAAAUCCGUUGAUCCAUUGAAGACCACCAGUGGCGAAGGCGGCUCACUGGCUCAUUACUGACGCUCAGGCGCGACAGCGUGGGGAUCAAACAGG